This 424-nucleotide ribosomal RNA is filed under the name uncultured prokaryote. Its description in RNAcentral is "bacterial SSU rRNA". It matches the Rfam family "Bacterial small subunit ribosomal RNA", at positions 355 to 796 of the family's 1533-position model. The record is from RNAcentral.
UGGGGAAUAUUGGACAAUGGGCGCAAGCCUGAUCCAGCCAUGCCGCGUGAGUGAAGAAGGCCCUAGGGUUGUAAAGCUCUUUCACCCGCGAAGAUGAUGACGGUAGCGGGAGAAGAAGCCCCGGCUAACUCCGUGCCAGCAGCCGCGGUAAUACGGAGGGGGCAAGCGUUGUUCGGAAUUACUGGGCGUAAAGGGCGCGUAGGCGGAAUAUCAAGUCAGAGGUGAAAGGCCUGGGCUCAACCUGGGAACUGCCUUUGAAACUGGUAUUCUAGAGUUCGGAAGAGGAUGGCGGAAUUCCCAGUGUAGAGGUGAAAUUCGUAGAUAUUGGGAAGAACACCGGUGGCGAAGGCGGCCAUCUGGUCCGAUACUGACGCUGAGGCGCGAAAGCGUGGGGAGCAAACAGGAUUAGAUACCCCCGUAGUCC